This is a long non-coding RNA of Phasianus colchicus (ring-necked pheasant), 1611 nucleotides long. Lineage: Eukaryota; Metazoa; Chordata; Aves; Galliformes; Phasianidae. The record is from Ensembl.
UCCCAUUAUUGUCCCCAUUCCCCAUUGAUGUCCCCAUAUCCCAUUGCUCCACAAAUCCCUCACUGUCCCCCACCCCACCGAUGUCCCCACACCCCAUUAAUGUCCCCACACCCCAUUGAUGUCCCCACACCCCAUUAAUGUCCCCACCCCCCCUGCUGUCCCCCCCACAGCUUCGUGGAGGCCAUCGUGGCCCUUUAUUACCCCACGGACGCCGACGUGGCCGACGACCCCGAACUGCAGCAGUGGGUGGGGGAGAUCUUCAUCUAUGGGGUGCUGGGCAACGACAAGUCCGGUUUCCCCUCCAAGCUCUGCACCCGCCCCGACCUCACCAAAUUCCUCACCAUGAUCAUCUUCCGCUGCUCCGCGCAGCACGCAGCCGUCAACAGUGGCCAGUACGACUUCGCAGCCUGGAUGCCCAACACCCCCGGGACCCUCCGGCUGCCCCCCCCCGGCCCCGAGGACCCGGUGACCCCCGACACCUUUUUGGCCACUUUGCCGUCCCCGAAGGCCACCGGGGCGCUGCUGGCGCUGCUCAGCGUCGUCAGCUACGAGGUCGGAGAGAGGGUGAGCGGGGACCGACCCUAAAAAGGACCUAUAAGAAACCCCCGUGACCCCAUAAAAACACCAGGACCCUAAAAGACCCCUGGGAAGCUGUGGGACACCAAAGAAACCCCGUGGGACCCCCAGGACCCCAUAGGAUCCCAUAGGACCACCAAGAUCCCAUAGGAUCCCAUAGGACUCCCAUGAUCCCAAAGGACCCCCAUGACCCCAAAAGAACCCCAAAAGAAGCCUAUAAGAACCCCUGUGACCCCAUAAAAACACCAGGACCCCAAAAGACCCCUGUGAACCUGUGGGACCCCGAAGAAACCCUGUGGGACCCCCAUGGCCCCAAGGGAACCCUAAAACCCCAUAGGAACCCCAGGACCCUAUAAGACCCCAUGGGACCCCCAUGACCCCAAACUUCCCCCAGGGACCCCCACGACCCCAAGGGAACCCCAAAACCCCAUAGGAACCCCAGGACCCCAUAGGAUCCCAUAGGACCCAGUAGGACUCCCAGGGACCCCCAUGACCCCAAGGGACCCCAAAGGGACCCCCAUGACCCCAAGGGACCCCAAAGGGACCCCCAUGACCCCAAGGGAACCUCCUGUGACCCCAUAGGAUACCCAUGACCCCGUAGGAUCCCAUAGGACCCCCGUGAUCCCAAAGGACCCCGUGAACCCCUGGGACCCCAAAGGGAGCCUAUAGGAACACCCUGUGACCCCAUAGGAACCCCAGGACCCUAUAAGACCCCUGUGACCCCGUGGGACCCCAUAGAACACCCCAAGGGAUCCCCAUGACCCCAAAGGACCCCUGUGACCCCAAAAGAACCCCAAAAGGAGCCUAUAGGAACCCCUCGACCCCAUAGGAACCCCAGGACCCUAUAAGACCCCUGUGACCCCGUGGGACCCCAAAGAAACCCCGUGGGACCCCCAGGACCCCAAGGGAACCCUAAAACCCAUAGGACCCCCAUGACCCCAUAGGAUCCCAUAGGACCACCAUGAUCCCAAAGGACCCCCGUGACCCCAUGGGACCCUAAAAGCAGCCUAUAGGAACCCCCUGUGACCCCAUAGG